AUAGCUCAGUGGUAGAGCACUUGCCUAGCAAGCAUGAGGUCCUGGGUUCAGUCCCCAGU
This 59-nucleotide transfer RNA is filed under the name Camelus bactrianus (Bactrian camel). It matches the Rfam family "tRNA", at positions 7 to 64 of the family's 71-position model. Rfam says of the family: Transfer RNA (tRNA) molecules are approximately 80 nucleotides in length. RNAcentral also lists the same sequence under 1 other name. The record is from Rfam by way of RNAcentral. Lineage: Eukaryota; Metazoa; Chordata; Mammalia; Artiodactyla; Camelidae.